This 492-nucleotide ribosomal RNA is filed under the name uncultured bacterium. Its description in RNAcentral is "partial 16S ribosomal RNA". It matches the Rfam family "Bacterial small subunit ribosomal RNA", at positions 29 to 507 of the family's 1533-position model. The record is from RNAcentral.
AGUGAACGCUGGCGGUAGGCCUAACACAUGCAAGUCGAACGGCAGCACAGUAAGAGCUUGCUCUUACGGGUGGCGAGUGGCGGACGGGUGAGGAAUACAUCGGAAUCUACUUUUUCGUGGGGGAUAACGUAGGGAAACUUACGCUAAUACCGCAUACGACCUACGGGUGAAAGCAGGGGAUCUUCGGACCUUGCGCGAUUGAAUGAGCCGAUGUCGGAUUAGCUAGUUGGCGGGGUAAAGGCCCACCAAGGCGACGAUCCGUAGCUGGUCUGAGAGGAGGGUAGGCCACACUGGAACUGAGACACGGUCCAGACGCCUACGGGAGGGAGCAGUGGGGAAUAUUGGACAAUGGGCGCAAGCAUGACCCAGCCAUACCGAGUGGGUGAAGAAGGCCUUCGGGUUGUAAAGCCCUUUUGUGGGGAAAGAAAAGCAGCAGGUUAAUACCCCGCUGUUCUGACGGUACCCAAAAAAUAAGCACCGGCUAACUUCGUG